Long non-coding RNA from Anolis carolinensis (green anole), 8794 nucleotides. RefSeq lists it as uncharacterized. Lineage: Eukaryota; Metazoa; Chordata; Lepidosauria; Squamata; Anolidae. The record is from RefSeq and is a predicted model, not a curated record. The transcript is spliced from 5 exons.
CCCGCCUCGCAGGCACCUUAAACCAAUGGGGGAAAUCCUGUCACCGAGCCACUGAAACGGGGAAAAGCCUGCCGUUUCUUUCCCGUUUUCCUUCAUCAUCCUCAAUGCUGAAGAGAUGCUGGUUGCCUGGAAAGGGACUGCUUUUCUUUCAAUGUGCUGUUGAAAGAUUGAUUCAGAUGGACACCUCAAAGUAGCCGGGAUUGCAUUCUGUAAACCGGUUUUCAUAAAUAUACAGUAGAGUCUCACUUAUCCAACACUCGCUUAUCCAACGUUCUGGAUUAUCCAACGCAUUUUUGUAGUCAAUGUUUUCAAUAUAUCGUGAUAUUUUGGUGCUGAAUUCAUAAAUGCAGUAAUUACUACAUAGCAUUACUGCAUAUUGAACUACUUUUUCUGCCAAAUUUGUUGUCUAACAUGAUGGUUUGGUGCUUCAUUUGUAAAAUCAUAACCUAAUUUGAUGUUUAAUAGGCUUUUCCUUAAUGCCUCCUUAUUAUCCAACAUAUUCGCUUAUCCACCAUUCUGCCGGCCCGUUUAUGUUGGAUACGUGAGACUCUACUGUAUGUCUAUUUAGUGUGUUGUCGAAGGCUUCCUUGGCCGAAAUCACUGGGUUGUUGUGCAUAUUCCGGGCUGUAUGGCCAUGUUCCAGAAGAAGCAUUCUCUCCUGACGUUUCGCGCAUAUCUAUGGCAAGCAUCCUCAGGGGUUUGGAAGUACAGUAGAAUCUCACUUAUCCAAGCUAAACGGACCGGCAGAAGCUUGGAUAAGUGAAUAUCUUGGAUAAUAAGGGUGGAUUAAAGAAAAGCCUAUUAAACAUCAAAUUAGGUUAUGAUUUUACAAAUUAAGCACCAAAACAUCAUGUUUUACAACAAAUUUGACAGAAAAUGUAGUUCAAUAGGCAGUGUUGUUAUGUUGCAAUUACUGUAUUUACGAAUUUAGCACCAAAAUAUCACGAUAUAUUGAAAACAUUGACUACAAAAAUGGCUUGGAUAAUCCAGAAGCUUGGAUAAGCGAGGCUUGGAUAAGUGAGAAUGUUGGAAAACCAAGCAAGGGAGGUUUAUGUAUCUGUGGAAGGUCAAGGUGGGAGAAAGGACUCUUGUCUGUUGGAGGCAGGUGUGAAUGUUGUAAUUAAUCGUGUAGAUUAGCAUUCAUGGUCUUGCAAGCUUCAUUCCUGCCUGGGGGAAUCCUUUGUUCUGAGGUGUUUGCUGCCCCUGUUUGAAUCAUAUCUGUAUUUCCGCUGAUUUCUGAGUGUUGUCCUUUGUUUGUGUUCAGAUGAUAGAGUCUUUGAAUUCUGGUAGCCAGAUUUUCUCCAUUUUCAUGGUUUUCUCCUUUCUGUUGAAAUUUUCCAUGUUUGUGGAUUUUAAUGGUUUUUCUGUGUAGUCUGACAUGAUAGUUGUUAGAGUGGUCCAGCAUUUCUGUGUUCUCAAAUAAUAUACUGUGUCCAGGUCCAAGAAGAUCCAACCAGUCCAUCCUCCAGGAAAUGAUGCCCAUCUGCUCACAGGACGGAAAGAUACUAGAGGCAAAGAUGAAGUAUUUUGGCCACAUCAUGAGAAGACAGGAGAGUUUGGAAAAGAUCAUGAUGCUGGGGAAAAUGGAAGGAAAAAGGAAGAGAGGCCGACCAAGGGCAAGAUGGAUGGACAGUAUCCUUGAAUUGACUGGUAUGAACUUGAAGCACCUGGGGGCUGCGAUGGAUGACUGGGAGCUCUGGCAUGGACUGGUCCAUGAGGCCACAAAGACUGUGUGAAUGAAGAAGUAGUAGUCCAGUCUCUUACCGCCUUUCUGGAUGGCAUCUGCUCCGCAGCCAGGCCGGGAUGGGAGGAGGAAGGGCCUCAUUCCAGAUGGAUCACUGGGCACCCUGACCAGGGAAGGAGGUGGACGCACGAUGGAGACAGCAGUCCCAGGAAGAGGAUGGAUCUGAAAAGAGAAAGUUAAAGUCUCUUACCGCCUUUCUGGAUGGCAUCUGCUCCGCAGCCAGGCCGGGAUGGGAGGAGGAAGGGCCUCAUUCCAGAUGGAUCACUGGGCACCCUGACCAGGGAAGGAGGUGGACGCACGAUGGAGACAGCAGUCCCAGGAAGAGGAUGGAUCUGAAAAGAGAAAGUUAAAGUCUCUUACCGCCUUUCUGGAUGGCAUCUGCUCCGCAGCCAGGCCGGGAUGGGAGGAGGAAGGGCCUCAUUCCAGAUGGAUCACUGGGCACCCUGACCAGGGAAGGAGGUGGACGCACGAUGGAGACAGCAGUCCCAGGAAGAGGAUGGAUCUGAAAAGAGAAAGUUAAAGGUCUCCAUUUCUGUGAUCUCAUCGGAGGAGGAGGCCUCCAGAUCUUCCUUUGGAGGACUAGAGAAGAGGAAGAGAAAACAGCAAAACAUUAGUCACAGAACCCUGUGAAGCAAUUUAGAAGGGAAAAAAACAACCAGAAGAGAAGGGGGAAGGGCUUACCUUACAGGGUAUAUUUUAAUACUCCUCCUCCCCCGACAGCAUUUGCAACAAUUUAAACAUAAUUUCUGGAUGUUCUGCAAAAGAGAAAGGAGAACAAGGUUUGUAGGUUGUGUUUCUUCAUCAGUUUGCCUAUGCGGUCAAGGUUGGACUUCUGCAAUGCUAACGAAGAAACACAACCUAGAAACUAUCUACAGACCCACUAAGAAAAUCCAACAAAUGCUCCAUUCAGCAAAGGAGAAGAGGGAUCCUCUCACCUCUGCAGGAGUCUACCGUAUACCAUGCAGCUGUGGACAAGUCUACAUAGGGACCACCAAACGCAGCAUUGCCCAGAAACGAGUCAAAGAACAUGAAAGGCACUGCAGACUAACUCAACCAGAGGAAUCAGCCAUAGCAGAGUACUUGAUGAACCAACCUGGACACAGUAUAUUAUUUGAGAACACAGAAAUGCUUGACCACUCCAACAACUAUCAUGUCAGACUACACAGAGAAGCCAUUGAAAUCCAUAAGCAUGUGGACAACUUCAACACAAAGGAGGAAACCAUGAAAAUGAACAAAAUCUGGCUACCAUUGUUUAAAAAAACCCUCCAAAAUCAGAACAGUAAAUAAGAAGCAGCACUCUGAAAACAGAAGAAUUCCAGACAGAAAUCAAUCAGGGACAGCUAAUGACUCUGAACAAAGGAUUCCCCCAGGCCAGGAUGUGAGGCUGGGAGGGCCAUUUAAUGCUAACAAAGGUUAUUAAUUACAACAUUCACACUGGCCUCCAACAGACAAGAGUUCUUCCCCCCACCUAGGAACUUCCACAGAUAUAUAAACCUUCCUUGCUUAGUUUCUCCAUACCUCACAACCUCUGAGGAUGCCUGCCAUAGAUGUGGGCGCAAUGUCAGGAGACAAUACUUCUGGAACAUGGCCAUACAGCCCGGAAAACACACAACAACCCUUUAGAGAAGCUAUUUUUUUGGUUUUUCUUAUUUUGCAACCUAGUUUUGGUCCCUCUUUUUUGUAAAAUUGUUCUAAUAGUACUUGAAGAAAUGAGAGGAGGAGGAAAAAGAGGAAGAAGUCUUUUGGGUAAUUAACAGACCAUGAGGCAACACAUUAAUAUUUAUUAGAACAAAAUAAAGAAAUCAUCUUAAAUACAAAUAUCAUUAGAAAAAAAUACAAUAAUAUAAAACAUAUGUUAUUUCCGAUAUCACAGUUUGUUGUGGAGUCACAGGCCAAUGCGGGUAUAAUUCAAAAGUAUUAUUUAAUAUCCAUAAAAAUAGUAUGAAAGAUUGAUUACAUUUUAAACUGGAGAACAGAUCCAAAUGCUAUUAAUGUAACAUAAUCUUAUGGGUUUUAACAGCAGAAAAUAAGUUUGCAAAUACUUCCGUUCUCAGAAGCCACCAAUUUCUGUAAAAGGACAGAGGAAUGGAGAGUUGGGAUCCCUCUCUGCAAGAAGUCCAGAUCCAACCCAAAGUGAACUGCUCAGGUAUUCUCAAACUGGUUCGUAAACCUGUUUGGAGCACCGUUUCUUGCGAUAAACCAAAUGACUAAUGAAAUUGUAAUUAUCUUCUGAUUCUCCUUGUGGAGAUUCUUUUUGGUAUGGGCCAUCAUUCCUUUCUAUGAGCCCCAAAUGCAAUAAAAUAGUCCAGAUAUAUACCCCACAGGCUUACUGUGACAAAUAGACUGUAGGGGACAUUCCCCUUACAGAUGGUCCUAUUUUCCAACACAAAUGCUGCUUCCCAGACAUUAAACUGAUUGGAAUAAUCUAAAAUAUGCCUCAUUUUCCAUGAGGAAUCCCAACCUAGCAAAUAAAACAAUAUGUUAUCCAUGUUUCCUGCAAUGCUUCAAAGUGUAGAUGACCAAACAACCAGGUAUCGGCAGGCGGCCCCUUUAAUUUCCAUUCCACCUAAGUCACAGAGACUACAAAAACAACAUUUUAAUUUAAAAUUCAAUUUCUGACUCUGCAUCUUUUCACUGGCACUGCCACAGAGCGGGUAUUUCAUUAAAGGGUUUAAUAGAUUUUGUGAGUUGUUAGAUUCAAAAAGGUUAUGCAUUCUCUCUGCUUCCAGGAUUCAGACAGCAGUCCAGUAAACAAAUUUACCACGAAAAUAGAGGCAGGAUGCUGAAAAGGGGGAGGAUGGACACCCCCAUGGAUAUAGUUAUGUAUGGAGGGGGCAGACCCAUUUGUUCCAUUUACUGAUCAUGUUGACAUCAGGGCUUUUGAAAAAAAGAGUCUGUGAUGAAAUUUAUUUGAAAAGCAUUCCCAAUAAUGACAGAUUUAAAACAAGCUUCUCCAGGACUGAUUGGUAAACUCUUAAAGAACUAGCCAAUGACAAAAACAUCAUAUGGAAACCUGCUGACAAGGGGGGUGCCAUCGUUGCAAUGAACACAACGAAUUAUAUGCAGGAGGUAUAUAGACAACUGUCAGUCAAAGAGCAUUAUUCUCUUGUAGAUAAAGUCCCGACCAAACAUAUUCAAUUCAUCAUAAGAACCAUAAUUCUGGAAGGACUUAGUUUAGAUUAUAUCACAGAAAAAGAAAAAAGAUUUCCUUAUGACCUCACAUCCAUGCAUUCCGGUCUUAUAGACACUACCUAAAAUACACAAAGACAUCAGGCCACCUUUGGGCCGGCCCAUUGUAUCUGGGUCUGGCUCAGUCCUCGAACCACUAUCCAGAUUGGUUGACUCUUUUUUACAGCCCUUUGUCAAACAAACUAUGUCAUAUAUCAAGGACACCAAACAUUUCAUUAACAUCAUAGAGAAACAGAGUAAUAUGGGACAGAUGAGACAAUAGGGGAUAUGCAACCCAAAAUAGAGUUUGGCUACUCUCAACAAAUUCAAGUCUCCAGAGCCAGAUGAACGAUGUCCAUGAAUAUUGAGGGAACUGGCAGAAGUCAUUUCAGAACCACUGGAAAUAAUCUUUGAGAAUUCUUAGAGAACAGGAGAAGUCCCAGCAGAUUGGAGGAAGGCCAAUGUUGUCCCUAUCUUCAAGAAGAGAAAAAAAGGGCGCUAACUAUUACUGUGCAGGCAGCCUGACGUCAAUACCAGGAAGGAUUCUGGAGCAGAUCAUUGAGGAGGCAGUUUGCAACCACUUAGAAAAGAAUGCUAUGAUCACUAAAAUUCCCCAGUGAUUCUCAAAACAGGUCACGCCAGACUAAUCUUAUCUGGGAAAGAGAAAGUUGAGAGGGGACACGAUAGUCUUGUAUAAAUAUUUGAAAGGAUAAGGUAGAGGGAGCAGGCUUGUUUCCUGCUGCCCUGGAGAUUAGAACUCGGAGCAGUGGGUUAAAAAUUACAGGAAAGGAUAUUCCACUUGAUCACUAGGAAGAACUUUCUGACUAUAAGAGCUGUUCAACAUUGGAAUUCACUGCCUCAGAAUGUGGUGGAAGCUCCUGCUUUGGAGGCUUUUAAACAAAGCCUGGAUGGCUAUCUGUCAGGGGUACUUUGUGCUUCUCCUGCAUGGCAGAGGGUUGGACUAGAUGGCACAUGUGGUCUCUUCCAACUGUUCUUACAGAUAAUCUAGGUCUCUGUAACGGAUUGGCCUACCUUGCAGGGUUGGUGUGUCAAGACAGAUCAAGGCCUUAGUAAGAAAGACAAAGCCAGGCAAGGGGAGGAGUGAUCAGGCAGCUCCACUCUAUGGAAGUGCAGUCUGAUUGGUUGGUGCAAUUGGAGGGAUUUGCUUAGCAAGAGGAGGUAGGCAGGGCCAGCAAGACAGGAAUUGCUCUUCAACCAGAAAGCGAGUGAGUUAGGGAUUGGAGUGAGAAGAAUCCGAGUUUGGAGUUUUGAAAAGGAAGGAAGGAAGGUUUUGGGAACUGUUAGUGAGAAAGCUCUUUGAGGGAAAAGUUAAACUAGGGCUAGGAAUUGUAGCGAGCCUCUAUGGGUGAAUAGUGCUUGUGUUAAGAGCCUCUGGAAGAGAGGACUCAAACGUUCAAAAAGCCUGUAAGAAAAUCCCACAGACAGACUACAAAAAGAGGCACAACUAUGUGGCCCAAAUGAUUCAUUGGAACUUAUGCCUCAAGUACCACCUGCCAGCAGCAAAGAACUGGUGGGGUCACAAACUUGCAAAAGUAUUGGAAAAUGAGCAUGCAAAGAUACUGUGGGACUUCUGAAUCCAGACUGACAAAGUUCUGGAACACAACACUACAGACAUCACAGUUGUGCAAAAGAAAAAGGUUUGGAUCAUUGAUGUUGCCAUCCCAGGUGACAGUUGCAUUGACGAAAAACAACAGGAAAAACUAAGCCGCUAUCAGGAUCUCAAGAUUGAACUUCAAAGAUUCUGGCAGAAACCAGUGCAGGUGGUCCCGGUGGUGAUCGGCACACUGGGUGCCGUGCCAAAAGAUCUCAGCAGGCAUUUGGAAACAACAGACAUUGACAAAAUUACGAUCUGCCAACUGCAAAAGGCCACCCUACUGGGAUCUGUGUGCAUCAUCCGAAAAUACAUCACACAGUCCUAGACACUUGGGAAGUGUUCUACUUGUGAUUUUGUGAAACAAAAUCCAGCAUAUCUAUCUUGUUUGCUAUGUCAUACAAUAAUAAUAAUAAUAAUAAUAAUAAUAAUAAUAAUAAUAAUAAUAAUAAUAACCAAGAACUUACUUUUAGCAGUCUCCGGGCAGACAUGUUUGUCUCUGUACAAGACCAGAAGACAAUAGAGAUGGCAACGUUCCGUUUUGUCUUCCUGUCACAGACGGAACCGGUCUGCUUCGGAACUGCAUUCUCAUGACAAUGGUGUAAACCAAGGGGCCCCAGACUCCAGGGAAGUGAUGGCCCCUUUCUGAACCCAUAUACAUUGGGUAGUUGCCCUACCAAAUUAGAAAACAGUGUUAACAAAUUAAAAAACAAUUAGAAGAAAAAAGUGUCCAACGCAUUAUACAUGGCCUCCAAAAUCAUGACCAGAAGACCUCUCGGAAAUCCACUCAUUUGUAAAAAAACAUUCAAGGGUUGCCACAUCCCCUGUCUGUCUGAGAACAGACGCUGGUCCCACCAGUUACAAACACAUAUUUAGUUAUAUCAUGCAAAAGUGAAUGAAACUACCCAAUCUACAGUUGUCUCUGUUGUCCAAGGCCAUCUUUCACCUAUAUAUGUUUUCUCGUUUCUGGCCAUUCCAGUUAGAUAAGCGAGUGUUGGAUAAGUGAGACUACUGUAUCUUUAAGGUUAAUAAAUAGUACAAAGUAUAGUCCCACAUCAUCAGGAGAUUGAACUCCUUUCAAUUUAAACAAUAUUACAAUAACUGUGAAUUGGUCCAAAAGAUUUAAUUCAUAAAGCCAAAAAAGAGAGAUGUUACUCAAACAUGCUGCAUCAAAUAUAUGCUGAGCUCUGUGUUCACAUGUCAGAAGGAAAACACAGUUGAACCAUUGUCUUUUUUUUUUUUUUUUGCCUUUGACGACAAUGUAACUUUUUCUGGGAGAACUACAAUACUUAUCUAUAUAGGCACGUGAGCUGAAUGUUGCAUUGUGGUACUCUGCACUUUUAAACCCCCCUUAUAAUAAUAAUAUAAUACAUUUUAUUUAUACCCCACCCCCUCUCCCCAAAGUGACUUGGGGAGACUUCCUGAUCUUCAAUAAGCUGUUCCUUUCGUCUUUAUCAAGAAGCUCACAAAUUGCUUGUUCUUGAAGUGGGUGUCCUGGUCAAAGUUUAGUUAUUUUUCAAAGUUGGUUUAUAGCAUCUACAUUUACCGCUAGGAGAGAUCAUCUGGAGGCAUGGGGCAGGGGGCUAUCAGUAUGCUGAUGACACCCAAAGAUGUUUCUCCAUGCCAUGAAAAACACUGUUAUCUCAGGAUAGCGGGUCUCCUUGGAAUGAAUGCCUGGAGGAAGUAAUGGGCAGGAUGAGGAGAAACAAAUUGAAACUGAAUCCAGACAAGACAUCGAGAGCACUAUGGGUGGAUCAACCAGUUCUGGAUAGGGUUACACUCCCCAUUAAAGUCUUUGGUCUCAGCUUGUGGGGGGUGCGCCCCUCGAUCCCUCUCUUGAAAUGUAAGAACAGGAAGAUGUGAUGGUCAGGAGUGCUUAGUACCAGCUUCAGCUGAUACGCCAGUUGUGCCCCUUCCAAGAAUUGCAGGACCUUAAGAAGGCUGGAUUCCUGCAAUGCUCUUUACAUUGUGCUGCCUCUGUACCAAGUUUGGAAAUUCCGAUUAGUUCAAAACAAGGCAGGGAAACUAGUUAUAGGAACAUCUAGGAGUGAUUCCACUGGUUUUGGAAAGCCUACCCAGUCUGUUUUAACUAUGGCUUUUACAUCAUAUUCUGUGUUUUUGUAUUUUAAUAUGUGCAUGUUUUAAAAUAUGCACUUCUGGUUGCAUUUAACUUAGCUUUCUUACAUGAUUUCAUAGAUGUAUUUAAUUAGGUUGUGUCUUCCCUCAGGCCACAUAGAGAGGUAAGCAAUAAAUAAAAGAUGAUGAUUAUG